UACGGGGGGAGCAAGCGUUGUUCGGAUUUACUGGGCGUAAAGGGCGCGUAGGCGGUCGUGACAAGUCACUUGUGAGAUCUCCGGGCUUAACUCGGAACGGUCAAGUGAUACUGUCGGACUAGAGUACAGAAGGGGCAACUGGAAUUCUCGGUGUAGCGGUGAAAUGCGUAGAUAUCGAGAGGAACACCUGCGGCGAAGGCGGGUUGCUGGGCUGAUACUGACGCUGAGGCGCGAAAGCCAGGGGAGCGAACGGG
This 254-nucleotide ribosomal RNA is filed under the name uncultured bacterium. RNAcentral describes it as "partial 16S ribosomal RNA". It matches the Rfam family "Bacterial small subunit ribosomal RNA", at positions 524 to 776 of the family's 1533-position model. The record is from RNAcentral.